Molecule: unclassified non-coding RNA, 1513 nt
Filed under: Hevea brasiliensis (rubber tree)
Lineage: Eukaryota; Viridiplantae; Streptophyta; Magnoliopsida; Malpighiales; Euphorbiaceae
Source: RNAcentral
AAACACUGAAACACCAAGAACUGACAGUCUGAGACACGGAUUAUAAUGGCAGCCUCAUUACGACAGUUUCAUGUGCACUGCCAUGGGUAUCAACUCCAAGCGUACAAACUUCUCGCUGCCCGUCAGCUUCACUGUCUUUAUUCUCCUGUUCAAGACCAAGAAGCAAUUUCUCAAUGAAUGUGAUCAGCAACUCUACAGCUCGCUCAGGACUCCUUUACUGCUUCGGCAACUCUACAGCUCGCUCUGGACUCCUUCACUGCUCCUUUCUCUCUUCGUCUCUCUCAAUCCCUUCUUCCUACUCAGGUAGCUAAACCCAACUCGAAUUAUGCUUCGAUUGUUGUUAUUUUUGUGAUCUUCUGUUGUGGGCAUCGUCGGUUGAUAUUUGUGUUUGAAUUACUUCUAUUCUAUGGCUUAAGGUGUGCAGAUUUGAGUGGCGCUCUCCCUUUUCUUAUAUUUUUGCUUUUAAGAGCUAAAAUAAACUUAUCAAAAUUUUUUAUUCGGCAACUUAAAAUGAUGACUGGAAAUGUUACUUGAACGUGUACUAUCUGUUUUACAUGUUAUAGCAUUUCUCAUUGUAUGGGAGAACAAAUAUGUUGAAUUAUAUAACACCAAGAUUUCAAUUUCAGUCAUUUAUACUGCUAAGAUACGAUUUCACUUGUUUCCAGAGUCCAAGUUUCUUCUGUUUCAGAAGAAGUUUGUCAAACCUGUUGUGCAUUUUAUGAACUGUAGUAGCAGCUUGAGUGUACUGUUGCCCUUUCAGAGUAAGCUCUGACAGAAGCAUUGAAGUGAAAUAAUUGAGUUAAAAUUUCAUUGCUUACACUUAAUGUAACCCAUUGUCUUUCAGGUUUAUCUUUGGGAUUGGAUUUGAAUUCUAACAGUGUGGUAAGAGAGGAGAGAGGCUAUGGCCUAGUGGUCAGAGCUGGAAAGGAUACUCUUUGUCAAACCAAGAGGAGCAGGUCUCGGAAGUCUCUGGCUCGGACUCAUGGCUUCCGUUGACGGAUGAGAACCACCAGCGGAAGUGCUGUGUUGAAACGUUGACGUGCCAAGGGACGAUAGGUUCUUUGCACCAAGUCCAACCCUAAUUCAGGAAAACUUCAUCUUUAAGUUAGUCCAGUAGUUUCAUUUGAUGAAGUUUAAUGGUGCCUCCUGAUUGUUUUCAUUCAAAUUUCGACAAUACACAAUUAAAGAUGACGUUUAAGGCUCAUUGAUUCAGAGGUUGCAUAUUAGUUUUUGUUUAUGUGUAGAUGCCUUCCUCCUAUGUCCUGUCUCAUCAAUAACAUGUAUCUUCAAAAAUGUUUGAGAGAUUUAAGGGCCUUCCAUGAAAAUGAUUUGGACAAUUUAAGAGCAAAAGGACUUUGCAAGGAAAGAAAUAACAUUUGAAGGUAGAUGACUGAAAUUUUAUUUGCUAAAAUGUUGUUUUGUUCUCUUUUGUCUGUCCCCUGCUUCAUUCAUGACCAUGGGCCCUUAACAUGUCUUUGAUUGACCUCAAAUUUAACUCAAACAGACUUGUUCU